This 120-nucleotide non-coding RNA is filed under the name Desulforamulus ruminis. Its description in RNAcentral is "Desulfotomaculum ruminis MoCo sequence". It matches the Rfam family "Molybdenum/Tungsten riboswitch aptamer (Moco RNA motif)". RNAcentral also lists the same sequence under 1 other name. Lineage: Bacteria; Bacillati; Bacillota; Clostridia; Eubacteriales; Peptococcaceae. The record is from RNAcentral.
AUUUAUAGCGUUCUCCGAGCCAUAGUGCCUAAUGCGUAAUGUGAUGGUGUUAUGGCCGUAUAAGGGUUAAUCGGGAAACGGGUUAGCCUCCCUUUGGAAAGGAGAACAUUCCACCUGUUA